UGGGUAACCUGCCUCAAAGAGGGGAAUAGCCUCCCGAAAGGGAGAUUAAUACCGCAUAAUAUGUUUUAAUCGCACGAUUUUAACAUCAAAGGAUUUUCUUCGGAACUUCCACUUUGAGAUGGACCCGCGGCGCAUUAGCUAGUUGGUGAGGUAACGGCUCACCAAGGCAACGAUGCGUAGCCGACCUGAGAGGGUGAUCGGCCACAUUGGAACUGAGACACGGUCCAGACUCCUACGGGNGCAG
RNAcentral lists this ribosomal RNA (244 nucleotides) under uncultured bacterium. RNAcentral's name for it is "partial 16S ribosomal RNA". It matches the Rfam family "Bacterial small subunit ribosomal RNA", at positions 118 to 347 of the family's 1533-position model. The record is from RNAcentral.